RNAcentral lists this ribosomal RNA (501 nucleotides) under uncultured bacterium. RNAcentral's name for it is "partial 16S ribosomal RNA". It matches the Rfam family "Bacterial small subunit ribosomal RNA", at positions 30 to 523 of the family's 1533-position model. The record is from RNAcentral.
AUUGAACGCUGGCGGCAUGCCUUACACAUGCAAGUCGAACGGCAGCACGGGUGCUUGCACCUGGUGGCGAGUGGCGAACGGGUGAGUAAUAUAUCGGAACGUACCUUAUUGUGGGGGAUAACGCAGCGAAAGCUGUGCUAAUACCGCAUAAUCCCUAAGGGGGAAAGCGGGGGACCGUAAGGCCUCGCGCAAUUAGAGCGGCCGAUACCUGAUUAGCUAGUUGGUGAGGUAAAGGCUCACCAAGGCAACGAUCAGUAGCUGGUCUGAGAGGACGAUCGUCCACACUGGGACUGAGACACGGCCCAGACUCCUACGGGAGGCAGCAGUGGGGGAUUUUGGACAAUGGGGGCAACCCUGAUCCAGCAAUGCCGCGUGAGUGAAGAAGGCCUUCGGGUUGUAAAGCUCUUUUGUCAGGGAAGAAACAGCAGCUCUAACACAGUAUGCGAAUGACGGUACCUGAAGAAUAAGCACCGGCUAACUACGUGCCAGCCGCCGCCGUAA